GAUGAACGCUGGCGGCGUGCCUAAUACAUGCAAGUCGAGCGAACAGAUGAGGAGCUUGCUCCUCUGACGUUAGCGGCGGACGGGUGAGUAACACGUGGAUAACCUUCCUAUAAGACUGGGAUAACUUCGGGAAACCGGAGCUAAUACCGGAUAAUAUAUUGAACCGCAUGGUUCAAUAGUGAAAGACGGUUUUGCUGUCACUUAUAGAUGGAUCCGCGCCGCAUUAGCUAGUUGGUAAGGUAACGGCUUACCAAGGCAACGAUGCGUAGCCGACCUGAGAGGGUGAUCGGCCACACCGGAACUGAGACACGGUCCAGACUCCUACGGGAGGCAGCAGUAGGGAAUCUUCCGCAAUGGGCGAAAGCCUGACGGAGCAACGCCGCGUGAGUGAUGAAGGUCUUCGGAUCGUAAAACUCUGUUAUUAGGGAAGAACAAAUGUGUAAGUAACUAUGCACGUCUUGACGGUACCUAAUCAGAAAGCCACGGCUAACUACGUG
This 497-nucleotide ribosomal RNA is filed under the name uncultured bacterium. Its description in RNAcentral is "partial 16S ribosomal RNA". It matches the Rfam family "Bacterial small subunit ribosomal RNA", at positions 28 to 507 of the family's 1533-position model. The record is from RNAcentral.